GACGAACGCUUGCGACGUGCCUAAGAAAUGCAAGUCGAACGGGGUAGCAAUACCUAGUGGCGAACGGUCGCGUAACACGUGGGCAACCUGCCCCAGAGCGGGGGAUAACAACCCGAAAGGGUUGCUAAUACCGCAUGUGAACCGGUGGUGGCAUCAUCAUUUGUUCAAAGGAGCAAUCCACUCUGGGAUGGGCCCGCGGCCUAUCAGCUAGUUGGUGGGGUAACGGCCUACCAAGGCUUCGACGGGUAGCUGGUCUGAGAGGACGAUCAGCCGGAUU
RNAcentral lists this ribosomal RNA (277 nucleotides) under uncultured bacterium. RNAcentral's name for it is "partial 16S ribosomal RNA". It matches the Rfam family "Bacterial small subunit ribosomal RNA", at positions 28 to 314 of the family's 1533-position model. The record is from RNAcentral.